This is a small nuclear RNA of 134 nucleotides. Its record names the gene U2. It matches the Rfam family "U2 spliceosomal RNA". From Rfam's summary of the family: U2 is a small nuclear RNA (snRNA) component of the spliceosome (involved in pre-mRNA splicing). Complementary binding between U2 snRNA (in an area lying towards the 5' end but 3' to hairpin I) and the branchpoint sequence (BPS) of the intron results the bulging out of an unpaired adenosine, on the BPS, which initiates a nucleophilic attack at the intronic 5' splice site, thus starting the first of two transesterification reactions that mediate splicing. The record is from Ensembl.
AUUGCUUCUUGGCAUUUUGGCUAAGAUCAAAUGUAAUAUCUGUUCUUAUCAGAAUAGUCUGACAGGACACAUUUGUCCCUAUGUUAAUCAAUACAGUAACAGAGGGCAAUCUGUACUGACUCCUCACACCUUUU